AACGGCCAUACCAUGCGGAAUAUACCGGUUCUCGUUAGAUCACCGGAAGUCAAGCAUCAUUGGGCGCGGUCAGUAUUUGGGUGGGUGACCACCUGGGAACACCGCGUGCCGUU
RNAcentral lists this ribosomal RNA (113 nucleotides) under Caerostris extrusa. Lineage: Eukaryota; Metazoa; Arthropoda; Arachnida; Araneae; Araneidae. The record is from RNAcentral.